This 58-nucleotide ribosomal RNA is filed under the name Trichoderma sp. 2S11D. Its description in RNAcentral is "partial 28S ribosomal RNA". The record is from RNAcentral. Lineage: Eukaryota; Fungi; Ascomycota; Sordariomycetes; Hypocreales; Hypocreaceae.
CUCGCAUCGGGAGCGCGGCGCGUCCACAGCCGUUAAACACCCCAAAUUUCUGAAAUGU